Molecule: long non-coding RNA, 1181 nt
Filed under: Homo sapiens (human)
Lineage: Eukaryota; Metazoa; Chordata; Mammalia; Primates; Hominidae
Description: non-protein coding SNHG11:14
Source: RNAcentral
CCCCUCAGCCUCCUCCGCGCGGUUACCCCUGUACCCGCCGCCAUCCGUCCUGGCGCUCCGGAUGAGUCAAUGAGGGGCAGGGCCCGAGGAGUGGUCUUCCCAAGAACCCCUGGUGGCCUCCCAAGGCCGGUGCUGUGUACCUCCUCCCCGACAAAAGGGGAAACUGAGGCCCCGAGGGGAGUGGGAAGAGCCGGCUGGACGUCAGGCCCAGCCGCUGGUGCAGUGGUCCGUCCCCUCUGCCGGGGUGGGCCCCUCGGGUUUCGCGUGUCCUCGGGAAAGAGACUGGCGGGCCUCGUGGGCUGUGCGGCUAUCCUGGAGACAGAUGACAGCUCUCCCUUGGAUGGCUUUGCUGGUUCCGCACCAGCCAGCGCCCCCAUUUUUCCUGCAGCACCCUGAUCUGCACUCCCUGAGGGGCUCCCACUGUCCGCGGUGUGAGGAUGUCCCUGGAAAUUGGUCUUCUGUGACUUUCUUGAUGGGGGCAGAUGAGAUCUUUGUACUGCAUUAAGUGGAUAGCGCUCAGGUCCUUUGGGCUUGGCGCUUUGGCAAUCUCCAGGCAGCUCACUUUGGCCUCUGUUCCUGGAUCCCCUUUGCUCUUUUCUGCGCCUGCAUUCAUAGUCCACUGUGUGCAGAGGCAUGGGAGUUGUCAUGUUGGGAACAUGCUAGACCUCAGUAUCCUUGAGGGAUGCUGCCUUGGGUCUGGAAACUGUUAGAGGAAACCCCAAGAGGUGCAGGCACUGAGCCUCUCAGGACAAUGACCUGGGGUCCCAGCUCCCCUGGAGGGGCCUCCUCAUGAUUGUUUGGGGGUUGAUCACAGACCAAGAGUGACGAGUGAUGUCACCCUGUGACUCAUGGCUGGACCUUCUUGCCCCUAUUGUCUCAGCACAACAUUAUUCGACUUUUCCCUCAGCGUGGGUGGGCAGAGGAAAAGCCCUGUGGCUCUGGGGACUUGGGAUCCAGAGUUGAAGACCCUUCAGCUGGCUCUGCCCUGCCAGUGCCACAGAGUGCCAUGGCCCAGGAAGACAGGUUUUCUUCCAUCUAGGCCAGGCCAUCCAGUGGCCAUCCUCCGUGUCCUCCCGCCUCCUCCUGGUGUGACUUCUGAAAACCAAGAAUUUGUUCCUGUUGACUUUUUCUGUGCUAUGGACCAUUGUCCUCUCACCCACUCAAUAAAUCUUGAAACAUGC